GGACUACCAGGGUAUCUAAUCCUGUUUGCUCCCCACGCUUUCGCGCAUCAGCGUCAGUAUCGGUCCAGAGAGCCGCCUUCGCCACUGGUGUUCUUCCCAAUAUCUACGAAUUUCACCUCUACACUGGGAAUUCCACUCUCCUCUCCCGAACUCAAGCGACGGAGUAUCAAACGCAAUUCCCAGGUUGAGCCCGGGGCUUUCACGCCUGACUUCCGACACCGCCUACGCGCCCUUUACGCCCAGUAAUUCCGAACAACGCUAGCCCCCUUCGUAUUACCGCGGCUGCUGGCAC
Molecule: ribosomal RNA, 292 nt
Filed under: uncultured bacterium
Lineage: Bacteria
Description: partial 16S ribosomal RNA
Source: RNAcentral